UGAGACUUCCAGAAGAUGCCACCAACUGGU
This 30-nucleotide non-coding RNA is filed under the name Mus musculus (house mouse). Lineage: Eukaryota; Metazoa; Chordata; Mammalia; Rodentia; Muridae. The record is from RNAcentral.